GAUGAACGCUGGCGGCGUGCCUAAUACAUGCAAGUCGAGCGAACGCACGAGAAGCUUGCGCCUCUGACGUUAGCGGCGGACGGGCGAGUAAGACGUGGGUAACCUACCUAUAAGACAGGGAUAACUUGGGGAAACCGGAGCUAAUACCGGCUAAUAUUUUGAACAGCAUGGUUCAAAAGUGAUAGACGGUAAUGCUGUCUAUUAUAGAUGGUGCGGCGCUGCAUUAGCUAGGUGGUAAGGUAACGGCCUACCAAGGCAACGAUGCGUAGCCGACCUGUGAUGGUGAGCAGCCACACCGGAACUGAGACACGGUCCAGACUCCUACGGGAGGCAGCAGUAGGGAAUCUUCCGCAGUGGGCGAAAGCCUGACGGAGCACCGCCGCGUGAGUUAUGAAGGUCUUCGGAUCGUAAAACUCUGUUAUUAGUGUAGAACAUAUGUGUAAGUAACUGUGCCCAUCUUGACGGUACCUAAUCAGAAAGCCACGGCUAACUACGUG
This 497-nucleotide ribosomal RNA is filed under the name uncultured bacterium. Its description in RNAcentral is "partial 16S ribosomal RNA". It matches the Rfam family "Bacterial small subunit ribosomal RNA", at positions 28 to 507 of the family's 1533-position model. The record is from RNAcentral.